This 769-nucleotide ribosomal RNA is filed under the name uncultured Facklamia sp. Its description in RNAcentral is "bacterial SSU rRNA". It matches the Rfam family "Bacterial small subunit ribosomal RNA", at positions 28 to 776 of the family's 1533-position model. Lineage: Bacteria; Bacillati; Bacillota; Bacilli; Lactobacillales; Aerococcaceae. The record is from RNAcentral.
GAUGAACGCUGGCGGCGUGCCUAAUACAUGCAAGUCGAACGCGCCGAGAAGGGAACUUGUUCCUUUCAACGCGAGUGGCGAACGGGUGAGUAACACGUGGGAAACCUACCCUUCAGCGGGGGAUAACCAUCGGAAACGAUGACUAAUACCGCAUAGUUGUUCUAGUCGCAUGACUGGAAUGGGAAAGACGGCUUCGGCUGUCACUGAAGGAUGGUCCCGCGGUGCAUUAGCUAGACGGUGGGGUAACGGCCUACCGUGGCUUUGAUGCAUAGCCGACCUGAGAGGGUGAUCGGCCACAUUGGGACUGAGACACGGCCCAAACUCCUACGGGAGGCAGCAGUAGGGAAUCUUCCGCAAUGGACGCAAGUCUGACGGAGCAACGCCGCGUGUGUGAAGAAGGUCUUCGGAUCGUAAAGCACUGUUAUCAGAGAAGAAUAGCCUGUAGAGUAACUGUUAUAGGUUUGACGGUAACUGAUCAGAAAGCCACGGCUAACUACGUGCCAGCAGCCGCGGUAAUACGUAGGUGGCAAGCGUUAUCCGGAUUUAUUGGGCGUAAAGGGAGCGCAGGCGGUUGAUUAAGUCUGAUGUGAAAGCCCACGGCUCAACCGUGGAGUUGCAUUGGAAACUGGUCAACUUGAGUACAGAAGAGGAAAGCGGAAUUCCAUGUGUAGCGGUGAAAUGCGUAGAUAUAUGGAGGAACACCAGUGGCGAAGGCGGCUUUCUGGUCUGAAACUGACGCUGAGGCUCGAAAGCGUGGGGAGCAAACAGG